Molecule: ribosomal RNA, 491 nt
Filed under: uncultured bacterium
Lineage: Bacteria
Description: partial 16S ribosomal RNA
Rfam family: Bacterial small subunit ribosomal RNA
Source: RNAcentral
GAUGAACGCUGGCUACAGGCUUAACACAUGCAAGUCGAGGGGAAACGACGGGGAAGCUUGCUUCCCCGGGCGUCGACCGGCGCACGGGUGAGUAACGCGUAUCCAACCUGCCUCUGACUGAGGGAUAACCCGUCGAAAGUCGGCCUAAUACCUCAUGGCAUCGUCUGCGGGCAUCCAACGACGAUUAAAGAUUUCAUCGGUCAGAGAUGGGGAUGCGUCUGAUUAGCUUGUUGGCGGGGUAACGGCCCACCAAGGCGACGAUCAGUAGGGGUUCUGAGAGGAAGGUCCCCCACAUUGGAACUGAGACACGGACCAAAAUGCUACGGGAGGCAGCAGUGAGGAAGAUUAGUCGAGGGGCGAGAGCCUGAACCAGCCAAGUAGCGUGCAGGAGGACGGCCCUAUGGGUUGUAAACUGCUUUUAUGCGGGGAUAAAGUGAGGGACGUGUCCUUCAUUGCAGGUACCGCAUGAAUAAGGACCGGCUAAUUCCGUG